AUGGCCUGGUCCCCUCUCCUCCUCACCCUCCUCACUCACUGCACAGGUGACUGGAUGCAGGAACAAUCUGUGUUGACUCAGCCAUCAUCUGUGUCUGGGUCUGUGGGCCAGAAGUUCACCAUCUCCUGCACUGGAAGCAGCUCCAACAUUGGACGUGGUUAUGUGAGCUGGUUCCAACAGCUCCCAGGAAUGGCCCCCAGAACCGUCAUCUAUCGUAGUAACUACCGACCAUCGGGGAUCCCGGAUCGAUUUUCUGGCUCCAGUUCUGGCAGCUCAGCCACCCUGACCAUCACUGGGCUCCAGGCUGAGGACGAGGCAGAUUAUUACUGCUCAUCGUGGGACAGCAGUCUGAAAGGUCACACAGAGCUCCAGGCCUGA
This is a non-coding RNA of Ailuropoda melanoleuca (giant panda), 378 nucleotides long. The record is from the annotation of a RefSeq genome assembly. NCBI's taxonomy places the organism in Eukaryota, Metazoa, Chordata, Mammalia, Carnivora, Ursidae.